CAUGCAUGUCUUAGAAGUAUAAUAGGAGGCGAUCCAUAAAUCUGCGAACGGCUCCGUAUAUCUGUUAUCACCCACGGCCACUAAAAAGAUCUCGGAUACCCACGGUAAUUCUGAGGCUAAUACGUAUACGUAGCUUGGGCCUCCAGGACAGGGUGCCCCCCGCAAGGGGGGCGCCUGGGCUAGUCGCUUGUUGCCGGGGGGUCCCGCAAGGGGUCCGCUGUCAUGAUGGCAGGCUAGUGCACCACACUGCGGGGGCGAUAUGUCCCGUAGGGUGCGCCAAGGGAGCCAGCCCUAUUAACUAGGUGUCCGGGUAAGGCCCGGCCACGGUGAUAACGGGUACAGAGGAUCAGGGUUCGGUCCUGGAGAGGAAGCCUGAGAGAUCGCUUCUACUUCUAAGGAAGGCAGCAGGCGCGCAACGUUCCCAAUGGGGAUACCCUGAGGACGUGAGGGGAUAUAGCAAUGCCCCGCCCAUAAAGCGGGGCAAUUGCAAUGGGGGUCCACUAAACCCUCCACCGAGUAACAAUUGGAG
RNAcentral lists this ribosomal RNA (529 nucleotides) under Trichia varia. RNAcentral describes it as "SSU rRNA". It matches the Rfam family "Eukaryotic small subunit ribosomal RNA", at positions 50 to 553 of the family's 1831-position model. The record is from RNAcentral. Lineage: Eukaryota; Evosea; Eumycetozoa; Trichiida; Trichiidae.